This 75-nucleotide transfer RNA is filed under the name Actinomadura macrotermitis. RNAcentral's name for it is "Actinomadura sp. RB68 tRNA-Arg". The record is from RNAcentral. Lineage: Bacteria; Bacillati; Actinomycetota; Actinomycetes; Streptosporangiales; Thermomonosporaceae.
CGCGGGUUCGCCGGGCGGAUGGCGCUCGCGCUGCGGCUGCUCGCCGACCCGGCGUUCGACGCGCUGAUCCCCGGC